CGCAGAUACCAGCUGGCUGCAACUGUUUAUUAAAAACACAGCACUGUGCAAACACGAAAGUGGACGUAUACGGUGUGACGCCUGCCCGGUGCUGGAAGGUUAAUUGAUGGGGUUAUCCGUAAGGAGAAGCUCUUGAUCGAAGCCCCAGUAAACGGCGGCCGUAACUAUAACGGUCCUAAGGUAGCGAAAUUCCUUGUCGGGUAAGUUCCGACCUGCACGAAUGGCGUAAUGAUGGCCAGGCUGUCUCCACCCGAGACUCAGUGAAAUUGAACUCGCUGUGAAGAUGCAGUGUACCCGCGGCAAGACGGAAAGACCCCGUGAACCUUUACUAUAGCUUGACACUGAACAUUGAGCCUUGAUGUGUAGGAUAGGUGGGAGGCUUUGAAGUGUGGACGCCAGUCUGCAUGGAGCCAACCUUGAAAUACCACCCUUUAAUGUUUGAUGUUCUAACGUGGCCCCAUCAUCUGGGGUGCGGACAGUGUCUGGUGGGUAGUUUGACUGGGGCGGUCUCCUCCCAAAGAGUAACGGAGGAGCACGAAGGUUGGCUAAGCAUGGUCGGACAUCAUGCGGUUAGUGCAAAGGCAUAAGCCAGCUUGACUGCGAGAGUGACGGCUCGAGCAGGUACGAAAGUAGGUCUUAGUGAUCCGGUGGUUCUGAAUGGAAGGGCCAUCGCUCAACGGAUAAAAGGUACUCCGGGGAUAACAGGCUGAUACCGCCCAAGAGUUCAUAUCGACGGCGGUGUUUGGCACCUCGAUGUCGGCUCAUCACAUCCUGGGGCUGAAGUAGGUCCCAAGGGUAUGGCUGUUCGCCAUUUAAAGUGGUACGCGAGCUGGGUUUAGAACGUCGUGAGACAGUUCGGUCCCUAUCUGCCGUGGGCGUUGGAAGAUUGAAAGGGGCUGCUCCUAGUACGAGAGGACCGGAGUGGACGCACCACUGGUGUUCGGGUUGUCAUGCCAAUGGCACUGCCCGGUAGCUAAGUGCGGAAGAGAUAACCGCUGAAAGCAUCUAAGCGGGAAACUUGCCUUGAGAUGAGUCUUCCCUGACUCUUUAAGGGUCCUAAAGGAACGUUUAAGACUAAGACGUUGAUAGGCUGGGUGUGUAAGCGUAGCGAUACGUUGAGCUAACCAGUACUAAUGAACCGUGAGGCUUAACCUG
This 1155-nucleotide ribosomal RNA is filed under the name Providencia stuartii. Its description in RNAcentral is "partial 23S ribosomal RNA". It matches the Rfam family "Bacterial large subunit ribosomal RNA", at positions 1778 to 2925 of the family's 2925-position model. The record is from RNAcentral. Lineage: Bacteria; Pseudomonadati; Pseudomonadota; Gammaproteobacteria; Enterobacterales; Morganellaceae.